RNAcentral lists this ribosomal RNA (526 nucleotides) under uncultured bacterium. RNAcentral's name for it is "bacterial SSU rRNA". It matches the Rfam family "Bacterial small subunit ribosomal RNA", at positions 777 to 1300 of the family's 1533-position model. The record is from RNAcentral.
AAUAGAUACCCUGGUAGUCCACGCCGUAAACGGUGGGUACUAGGUGUGGGUUUCCUUCCUUGGGAUCCGUGCCGUAGCUAACGCAUUAAGUACCCCGCCUGGGGAGUACGGCCGCAAGGCUAAAACUCAAAGAAAUUGACGGGGGGCCCGCACAAGCGGCGGAGCAUGUGGAUUAAUUCGAUGCAACGCGAAGAACCUUACCUGGGUUUGACAUGCACAGGACGCCGGCAGAGAUGUCGGUUCCCUUGUGGCCUGUGUGCAGGUGGUGCAUGGCUGUCGUCAGCUCGUGUCGUGAGAUGUUGGGUUAAGUCCCGCAACGAGCGCAACCCUUGUCUCAUGUUGCCAGCACGUCAUGGUGGGGACUCGUGAGAGACUGCCGGGGUCAACUCGGAGGAAGAUGGGGAUGACGUCAAGUCAUCAUGCCCCUUAUGUCCAGGGCUUCACACAUGCUACAAUGGCCGGUACAAAGGGCUGCGAUGCCGUGAGGUGGAGCGAAUCCUUUCAAAGCCGGUCUCAGUUCGGAGUC